GAGGCGAACCGGGGGAACUGAAACAUCUAAGUACCCCGAGGAAAAGAAAUCAACCGAGAUUCCGAAAGUAGCGGCGAGCGAAAUUGGACUAGCCCUUAAGCUUUACACGCGUUAGACGAACGGUCUGGAAAGUCCGACGAUACAGGGUGAUAGUCCCGUAGUUGACGACGUGUGUUCAGUGAAAUCGAGUAGGGCGGGACACGUGAUAUCCUGUCUGAAUAUGGGGGGACCAUCCUCCAAGGCUAAAUACUACUGACUGACCGAUAGUGAACCAGUACCGUGAGGGAAAGGCGAAAAGAACCCCUGUGAGGGGAGUGAAAUAGAACCUGAAACCGUGUACGUACAAGCAGUAGGAGCAGGCUUUGUCCUGUGACUGCGUACCUUUUGUAUAAUGGGUCAGCGACUUAUAUUCAGUGGCAAGGUUAACCAUCUAGGGGAGCCGUAGGGAAACCGAGUCUUAACUGGGCGUUCAGUCUCUGGAUAUAGACCCGAAACCAGGUGAUCUAGCCAUGGGCAGGUUGAAGGUUGAGUAACAUCAACUGGAGGACCGAACCGACUAAUGUUGAAAAAUUAGCGGAUGACUUGUGGCUAGGGGUGAAAGGCCAAUCAAACCUGGAGAUAGCUGGUUCUCCCCGAAAGCUAUUUAGGUAGCGCCUCGGACGAAUACUACUGGGGGUAGAGCACUGUUAAGGCUAGGGGGUCAUCCCGACUUACCAACCCUUUGCAAACUCCGAAUACCAGUAAGUACUAUCCGGGAGACACACGGCGGGUGCUAACGUCCGUCGUGGAGAGGGAAACAACCCAGACCGCCAGCUAAGGUCCCAAAUUACUACUAAGUGGGAAACGAUGUGGGAAGGCUCAGACAGCCAGGAUGUUGGCUUAGAAGCAGCCAUCAUUUAAAGAAAGCGUAAUAGCUCACUGGUCGAGUCGGCCUGCGCGGAAGAUGUAACGGGGCUAAGUAGUAAACCGAAGCUGCGGCAAUGUGCUUUUGCACAUUGGGUAGGGGAGCGUUCUGUAAGCGGUUGAAGGUGUGUGGUAACGCAUGCUGGACGUAUCAGAAGUGCGAAUGCUGACAUGAGUAACGAUAAAGGGGGUGAAAAACCUCCUCGCCGGAAGACCAAGGGUUCCUGUCCAACGUUAAUCGGGGCAGGGUAAGUCGACCCCUAAGGCGAGGCCGAAAGGCGUAGUCGAUGGGAAACGGGUUAAUAUUCCCGUACUUCUUACAAUUGCGAUGGGGGGACGGAGAAGGCUAGGUGGGCCUGGCGACGGUUGUCCAGGUUCAAGUGCGUAGGCUUAAGAGUUAGGUAAAUCCGGCUCUUUCUAAGGCUGAGACACGACGUCGAGCACCUACGGGUGUGAAGUCAUUGAUGCCAUGCUUCCAGGAAAAGCCUCUAAGCUUCAGAUUGUAAGGAAUCGUACCCCAAACCGACACAGGUGGUCGGGUAGAGAAUACCAAGGCGCUUGAGAGAACUCGGGUGAAGGAACUAGGCAAAAUGGUACCGUAACUUCGGGAGAAGGUACGCUCUUGAUGGUGAAGUCCCUCGCGGAUGGAGCUGACGAGAGUCGCAGAUACCAGGUGGCUGCAACUGUUUAUUAAAAACACAGCACUGUGCAAAAUCGUAAGAUGACGUAUACGGUGUGACGCCUGCCCGGUGCCGGAAGGUUAAUUGAUGGGGUUAGACUUCGGUCGAAGCUCUUGAUCGAAGCCCCGGUAAACGGCGGCCGUAACUAUAACGGUCCUAAGGUAGCGAAAUUCCUUGUCGGGUAAGUUCCGACCUGCACGAAUGGCGUAAUGAUGGCCACGCUGUCUCCACCCGAGACUCAGUGAAAUUGAAAUCGCUGUGAAGAUGCAGUGUACCCGCGGCUAGACGGAAAGACCCCGUGAACCUUUACUACAGCUUGGCACUGAACAUUGACCCUACAUGUGUAGGAUAGGUGGGAGGCUUUGAAGCACGUACGCCAGUAUGUGUGGAGCCGUCCUUGAAAUACCACCCUUGUAGUGUUGAUGUUCUAACGUCGACCCCUUAUCGGGGUUGCGGACAGUGCCUGGUGGGUAGUUUGACUGGGGCGGUCUCCUCCCAAAGAGUAACGGAGGAGCACGAAGGUGGGCUAAUCACGGUUGGACAUCGUGAGGUUAGUGCAAUGGCAUAAGCCCGCUUGACUGCGAGAAUGACAAUUCGAGCAGGUGCGAAAGCAGGUCAUAGUGAUCCGGUGGUUCUGAAUGGAAGGGCCAUCGCUCAACGGAUAAAAGGUACUCCGGGGAUAACAGGCUGAUACCGCCCAAGAGUUCAUAUCGACGGCGGUGUUUGGCACCUCGAUGUCGGCUCAUCACAUCCUGGGGCUGAAGUCGGUCCCAAGGGUAUGGCUGUUCGCCAUUUAAAGUGGUACGCGAGCUGGGUUUAGAACGUCGUGAGACAGUUCGGUCCCUAUCUGCCGUGGGCGUUGGAAGAUUGAAGGGGGCUGCUCCUAGUACGAGAGGACCGGAGUGGACGAACCUCUGGUGUUCGGGUUGUGUCGCCAGACGCAUUGCCCGGUAGCUAAGUUCGGAAUCGAUAACCGCUGAAAGCAUCUAAGCGGGAAGCGAGCCCUGAGAUGAGUCUUCCCUGAUACUUUAAGUAUCCUAAAGGGUUGUCGGAGACUACGACGUUGAUAGGUCAGGUGUGUAAGUGCUGUGAGGCAUUGAGCUAACUGAUACUAAUUGCCCGUGAGGCUUAACCAUACAACACCCAAGGGGUUU
RNAcentral lists this ribosomal RNA (2737 nucleotides) under Vibrio parahaemolyticus. Its description in RNAcentral is "bacterial LSU rRNA". It matches the Rfam family "Bacterial large subunit ribosomal RNA". Lineage: Bacteria; Pseudomonadati; Pseudomonadota; Gammaproteobacteria; Vibrionales; Vibrionaceae. The record is from RNAcentral.